RNAcentral lists this ribosomal RNA (274 nucleotides) under uncultured bacterium. Its description in RNAcentral is "partial 16S ribosomal RNA". It matches the Rfam family "Archaeal small subunit ribosomal RNA", at positions 473 to 747 of the family's 1478-position model. The record is from RNAcentral.
AAACCAGCACCUCAAGUGGUCAGGAGGAUUAUUGGGCCUAAAGCAUCCGUAGCCUGUUCUAUAAGUUUCCGGUUAAAUCCAUUAGCUCAACUAAUGGGCCGCCGAAAAUACUGUAGAACUAGGGAGUGGGAGAGGUAGACGGUAUUCGGUAGGAAGGGGUAAAAUCCUUUGAUCUAUUGAGGACCACCUGUGGCGAAGGCGGUCUACCAGAACACGUUCGACGGUGAGGGAUGAAAGCUGGGGGAGCAAACCGGAUUAGAAACCCCGGUAGUCC